Molecule: ribosomal RNA, 470 nt
Filed under: uncultured bacterium
Lineage: Bacteria
Description: partial 16S ribosomal RNA
Rfam family: Bacterial small subunit ribosomal RNA
Source: RNAcentral
CCAGACUCCUACGGGAGGCAGCAGUAGGGAAUUUUCGUCAAUGGGCGCAAGCCUGAACGAGCGAUGCCGCGUGAGUGAAGAAGGCCUUCGGGUCGUAAAGCUCUGUUGCGGGGGAAAAAAGGCAGCAUCAGGAAAUGGGUGCUGACUGAUGGUGCCCCGCCAGAAAGUCACGGCUAACUACGUGCCAGCAGCCGCGGUAAUACGGAGGAUGCGAGCGUUAUCCGGAUUUAUUGGGUUUAAAGGGUGCGUAGGCGGACGCUUAAGUCAGCGGUAAAAUUGCGGGGCUCAACCUCGUCGAGCCGUUGAAACUGGGUGCCUUGAGUGGGCGAGAAGUACGCGGAAUGCGUGGUGUAGCGGUGAAAUGCAUAGAUAUCACGCAGAACUCCGAUUGCGAAGGCAGCGUACCGGCGCCCAACUGACGCUGAAGCACGAAGGCGUGGGUAUCGAACAGGAUUAGAUACCCGGGUAUG